GACGAACGCUGGCGGCGUGCUUAACACAUGCAAGUCGAACGGAAAGGCCCUGCUUUUGUGGGGUGCUCGAGUGGCGAACGGGUGAGUAACACGAGAGUAACCUGCCCUUGACUUUGGGAUAACUUCAGGAAACUGGGGCUAAUACCGGAUAGGAGCUCCUGCUGCAUGGUGGGGGUUGGAAAGUUUCGGCGGUUGGGGAUGGACUCGCGGCUUAUCAGCUUGUUGGUGGGGUAGUGGCUUACCAAGGCUUUGACGGGUAGCCGGCCUGAGAGGGUGACCGGCCACAAUGGGACUGAGAUACGGCCCAGACUCCUACGGGAGGCAGCAGUGGGGAAUAUUGCACAAUGGGCGGAAGCCUGAUGCAGCAACGCCGCGUGCGGGAUGACGGCCUUCGGGUUGUAAACCGCUUUCGCCUGUGACGAAGCGUGAGUGACGGUAAUGGGUAAAGAAGCACCGGCUAACUACGUG
This 468-nucleotide ribosomal RNA is filed under the name uncultured bacterium. RNAcentral's name for it is "partial 16S ribosomal RNA". It matches the Rfam family "Bacterial small subunit ribosomal RNA", at positions 28 to 507 of the family's 1533-position model. The record is from RNAcentral.